This is a non-coding RNA of Phalacrocorax carbo (great cormorant), 1058 nucleotides long. NCBI's taxonomy places the organism in Eukaryota, Metazoa, Chordata, Aves, Suliformes, Phalacrocoracidae. The record is from RefSeq and is a predicted model, not a curated record.
CAGCUUAGGCUCUGGCCCAGAUCAGGGCUCUGGCCUGUUUAGAGCUCUAGGUGCAGCUCAGCUCCCAGCCCAGAUCAGGGCUCUUGGCCCAGCUCCAAGGCUCUGGCCCAAUUCAGGGCUCUUGGCCCCUUUUAAGGUCCUGGCCCAGUUCAGGCUCUGGCCCAGCUCAGGGCUCUAGGCCCAGCUCAGGCUCUGGCCCUCUUAAGACUGGCCCAGCUCAGUUCCUGACCCAGUUCAGCUCCCAGGCCAGGUGACAACUCUGUUCCAGCUCAGGGCCCUAGGCCUGGCUCAGGGCUCUGGACCCGGCUCAGGGCUCUGUUCUAGUUUAAGGUACUUUCCCAGUUUGGGCCCAGCUCCCAGUUAAGAGCAUGGCCUCCCCCUCCGCCCCCCGCCCAAAUUUGGGCUCCAGUCCCCGCCCUACUCUCACUUCCGCUUCCGGUGCAAGAUGGGCCAAUCAGCACACAUGGGGAUGAGGGCGGCAGCCAAUAGCAGUGCGUGGGGCGGGGCAGGCGUUGCCCUGCGUCACCCUGGCAACGGGAGCGGCCGCCCCCGGGUCCCUCUGCCCGCCCGCAGCCACCCCUGGGAACACCCUGUCCCCUUGGGGGGCCCCAGUGUCCCCCCCACCCCCCCCUGGGGACACCCCCAUCCCCUUGGGGUCCCCAGUGUCUGUCCCCCCUCUCCUGGGGAGCCCCCUGUCCCCUUGGGGGGCCCCAGUGUCCCCCCCAGCCCCUCCUGGGGACACCCCCAUCCCCUUGGGGUCCCCAGUGUCUGUCCCCCCUCUCCUGGGGAGCCCCCUGUCCCCUUGGGGGGCCCCAGUGUCCCCCCCAGCCCCUCCUGGGGACACUCCUAUCCCCUUGGGGGGCUCCUGUGUCCCCCCAGGACCCUCCUGUCCUUGGGGACAUCCCCCUCCCCAAUAGCAGGGACACUGGUGUCCCCAAGUGCCACCCCCCCGACAGGACACACUGCCACCGGUGAUGUCACCGCACGAGCUUUAAUGGGCUGAAAUGGGGCGGAAAAGGGGCAAAGCUGUAAAAAGAAAUAAAGCGUUGGGUCACUGG